GUAACUUAAAUAGCUUUUAAAUUUUGUUUAAUAUCAAUCAAUGUGCUGUAGUUACUGUUUGGCCGUUGGGGUUUUGGUGCUGAACAUUGAUUGGAUUAACUUUAACGUCUAUUAUUGUUUUUUCAUAUGAAAUUGUAAUAAUUUGCCAAAAUUAAAUGUUUUAUUUUAAUUCGUUUUAAUUCCUACUGAGCAUUUAUUUAGUAUUGCUUUGCAUCCAGUCGUCUCAUAUCUUUAAUAUAUCUGCGUCUAUUUACU
RNAcentral lists this long non-coding RNA (255 nucleotides) under Mytilus galloprovincialis (Mediterranean mussel). The record is from RNAcentral. Lineage: Eukaryota; Metazoa; Mollusca; Bivalvia; Mytilida; Mytilidae.